Long non-coding RNA from Xenia sp. Carnegie-2017, 1074 nucleotides. RefSeq lists it as uncharacterized. The record is from RefSeq and is a predicted model, not a curated record. The transcript is spliced from 5 exons. Lineage: Eukaryota; Metazoa; Cnidaria; Anthozoa; Malacalcyonacea; Xeniidae.
UCGACGAAAGUUCCACUUCUCACUCACUAUAAAUUUUGUUCAUAACUCACGUUACUCAUCAGUUGUUGUAAAUAUAUAAUUAUAAAUAAAAUUAUCAACAUUUUUUUGUAAUAAUUGUUGUUAUUAAAGGUAGUUUGAGAUGGAGCAGCAAUUUUGGUGAUCUAUCCAUACCAUUUUUUGGCACUCCGUUUUGUAUCAAUGGAAUACGGUUACUAGAGUGUAUUUAUGGACCGUGCAGGCCGACAAAUAGAGAUUCUGAGGAGGGAAUCAACGGCCAUCCAACUGGCCAAAAAAGACGAUUUCGAGUGCAGCCAACUAAAAAGCUUGGGUGUAAGGCCCAGAUCACUGUUAGGGAGUUAACCGUGUAUCCAGACUACAUCGUUCCAACAUCCUGUAACAACAAACACCAGAUGGAACGAGUCAUUAAACCAUCGCUCUUGAACAAGUUAAAAAUCGAUAAAGAACACAAUGAAGCGCAAAUUAAAAAAAUAAAGAGGUUUUUUGUCAAAGUUCCAAACCAGCAAGCACACACAAACCACCCACACGGAGAAGUGUGCGGCAUUUCCAAUGGGGUCCAUCCGCUUAUAAUAGAGAAAAUCCACGAGCUUGUUGCAGCAGGUGUAACACAGUGGCAGGAAGUUAAAAAGUUACUUACCUACCAUGUGGAAAACAUAUUGUUCCAAGAUGAUAAAAGUCCAAGGCCCUCAACACUUAACCGGUCAUUUUAUCCAACCAGCACAGACAUCAUCAAUCAUAUCUACUCAGCUACCAACAAACAAAAACUUAGCAAACUGGAUCAGGUGAAUUUGCAAAAAAUGAUUGACGAAUGGAAAAUGUCUACAUGCCACAUCUGAUAACUGGAGAAACAUGUACAGAAAUCUCCUGAUUCCAGCUGAACUUCAAUGUUUAAAUCCAGGCUGUCUUGUUAGCGACCUCAUUAUUGAAGCUUUUCUUCAAUACCUCAAAUUUGAAUAUGCUGAUGAGAAUGUGAAACAAUCCACCAUUGCAUUGUCAAGCUAUUUCUGUACCAAGCUCAGGUCAUAAAACCAUCCAUAAAACCAUCACAACAGCAAA